Molecule: ribosomal RNA, 496 nt
Filed under: uncultured bacterium
Lineage: Bacteria
Description: bacterial SSU rRNA
Rfam family: Bacterial small subunit ribosomal RNA
Source: RNAcentral
UGGGGAAUCUUGGACAAUGGGGGCAACCCUGAUCCAGCCAUGCCGCGUGAGUGAUGAAGGCCUUAGGGUCGUAAAGCUCUUUCGCCUGUGAAGAUAAUGACGGUAGCAGGUAAAGAAACCCCGGCUAACUCCGUGCCAGCAGCCGCGGUAAUACGGAGGGGGUUAGCGUUGUUCGGAAUUACUGGGCGUAAAGCGCACGUAGGCGGAUCGGAAAGUUGGGGGUGAAAUCCCGGGGGCUCAACCCCGGAACUGCCUCCAAAACUAUCGGUCUAGAGUUCGAGAGAGGUGAGUGGAAUUCCGAGUGUAGAGGUGAAAUUCGUAGAUAUUCGGAGGAACACCAGUGGCGAAGGCGGCUCACUGGCUCGAUACUGACGCUGAGGUGCGAAAGUGUGGGGAGCAAACAGGAUUAGGAUACCCUGGUAGUCCACACCGUAAACGAUGAAUGCCAGUCGUCGGGUAGCAUGCUAUUCGGUGACACACCUAACGGAUUAAGCAU